This is a long non-coding RNA of Triticum aestivum (bread wheat), 692 nucleotides long. RefSeq lists it as uncharacterized. The transcript is spliced from 3 exons. NCBI's taxonomy places the organism in Eukaryota, Viridiplantae, Streptophyta, Magnoliopsida, Poales, Poaceae. The record is from RefSeq and is a predicted model, not a curated record.
UCGAUCCAGAGCUCUCCUCCACAAGUAUUGACAUAAGCCCCGACGUUGCCAGGAACCACCUGCAACCUAGCGCUACCCCUGAGGGACUCCUUCCUCACGAUGUUCCUGCCAGCGGCCUGAGAUUGGCCCUACAACGACCGCCUGUGCUUGGGCGCGGCGAGCGUCUCGAAGCCACGACAUCGGACAAGGAGACCGACUGGAGAGAGGCGGCUGCAGGCAGCAGGAUUUGCAGGUUAAGAAUUCACAUGACAUGGUGGCCACAUCGUGGAAUCUGAGAUGGCAAUCGUCCGUUGAGGCACAGCGGCGCCAGUCCGCCCGCGUCUAGCACUUGCGUGGUUACCUCGCCCAACGCCAAGCAUAGCAGCAACUUGAAGCAGCUCAAUUGUUGAAUGAAAUCGUCGAAGGGGCUGGGUGGUGUUUUCGAUUCUUGGGCUGGAGAAGAUGUGCAGGUAUGGCUGGCGUGUAAAGGGAGCCCAGAGUGGGAGGCGGCCCAGGACUAGCUGCUGCCAAUGAGAAGAAGAAGACCAAGCUUACGCAGCAUUGCGUUAACUCCAACCUCAGAGCUGGAAGUCUGGAACAAGACGUACAGGAUGCCAUGGACGAGGGAACAAGGUACCACCAGUAGCAGCCUAGAAUAGAUACUUGAAUACGCGAGAAAACAUGUAUCCUAAUUCCUAACGAAUAGUACAAAC